This 72-nucleotide transfer RNA is filed under the name Spinacia oleracea (spinach). It matches the Rfam family "tRNA". Rfam says of the family: Transfer RNA (tRNA) molecules are approximately 80 nucleotides in length. Their secondary structure includes four short double-helical elements and three loops (D, anti-codon, and T loops). The record is from Rfam by way of RNAcentral. Lineage: Eukaryota; Viridiplantae; Streptophyta; Magnoliopsida; Caryophyllales; Amaranthaceae.
AGGCUAUUAGCUUAAAUAGUAGAGUAAUCUACUAUAUUGUACAUGGUGUGGGUUCAAACCCCACAUAGUCUA